GCAUCAGUAACAAGGGAAAAGGUUUUGUUAGCACUGUUGACCCAGAGGAAAUCUGCCCUUUUCAGAUCGACAUGCCCCCCGGACCAAAAAGGUGAUGGAGACGCCAUUUCACAAGCAGGUGUCCAAUCGCCUGCUGCACAGGCAAAAGAUGGGCAGGCUUGUGCUGUAGUCUCCACAACUGGAUCAGACUGACACAGGAUUCCCAUUCACCGGAUGGUCUGAGGGAUGCACUCAUGUUGGACUGGAAAACAAAAAGAGACAUUUGGUCAAUGGCUCGAUCUGUUGUCAUCUCUACAGGUACAGGAUGUCCACGCACUGGAUGGCCUGAGGGAUUCACUCCUGUUGGACUGGAAAACAAAAAGAGUCAUUUGGUCAGUGCCGUAUCAACAUCUUUAUUUGGACAGAAAAUGUACCGUUUGUCAUAACACAAACCCACCUUGGACAAUGUGUGACAAGUGGUCCCUCAACAACCAAUCCUCAUGCCUCAUUGUGUGUUCUCAUUCCCCAAUCAACAGUCUGGAUCUUCCUCUCUGCCAUGGUGGGUGAGCUACCUUUUCCUGGUAUAUUUUCCCACUGGAAAAUGGCAGCUGCAGACCCGAGUGCUGUCACUGGGUUUUCUGUCCUCCCAUCUGAAAGACAACACAAAAAAAGUUACUUUUACUAGCCUAGCUAAGUUGAUUACUAAAACGGUAACAUCUACAGUGGGGCAAAAAGUAUUUAGUCAGCCACCAAUUGUGCAAG
This is a long non-coding RNA of Oncorhynchus gorbuscha (pink salmon), 741 nucleotides long. RefSeq lists it as uncharacterized. The transcript is spliced from 3 exons. The record is from RefSeq and is a predicted model, not a curated record. Lineage: Eukaryota; Metazoa; Chordata; Actinopteri; Salmoniformes; Salmonidae.